Molecule: long non-coding RNA, 2079 nt
Organism: Pieris brassicae (large cabbage white)
Lineage: Eukaryota; Metazoa; Arthropoda; Insecta; Lepidoptera; Pieridae
Exons: 3
Source: RefSeq, a predicted model, not a curated record
AUGGCUGUUGUCAAACCUUCGUUUUGGAUUAUUUUGUUCUUAUUUAUUCAUUUACGUGUUUAAAUAUGAGUAAAACUAUUAACUAUUACUGUUGUUCUGCAUGAUAUCCAAAUUCCAAGGAAAACAAGAAGAAUAAGAAGCUGAAUUCUACCAAAAACAAGUUUGUUUACGUGUGGUGUUGAAUUUCUUAGAAUAUUUCGUUUCUUUCGCGGGAAAUCUGGAAGAUGUAGAAGGAGUUGAUGCAAUAGUGAGAACUAUUGGUAUGCUCACACAGAGAUUGAAUAACAUCCCAGAACCAGUACUUUAAAGACAUUGCUUCCAUCACUGGUGUAAUAUCAAUACACAUAUAAUAUAUCGAUAGUGUCGGAGACGGAGACGAAAAAGGUAAACGCCUUCAUUCCCACUUUCAGCGUAACAAGAAUGGGGCUAGUUUGUGGGGUCUCUGUAGAUUGGAAUGUAGAGGAAGUUCAACAAAAUGUAUCCGUACCUAUAAGCUGCGACAAUACUUAAAAUAAGAUGUUUGAACCGCAAGUGAAAAUUAAAGAGUUGAUUUCUUGGAAACUCUCUGAAUCAGUUGUUAUAACAUUUGAUGGGCAAGUUUUACCAGUAAUGAUUUUCAUGUGCUAUAAUGCUCUGAGUUGAAAUAUAUUUUCCUAUGACGAAUGCCGAAAUGCUGCCGUUAUGGUCAUACCAAAGUCGUUCAAUGUCGUUCUAAGACUACAAUAUGUUAUAACUGAGGAGGUCAACAUGCAGGCGUGUCAUGUGACAGGUCAGAUGAAGAUCCUCUGUAUUGUGUAAUGUGUGAAGAGGAAGGGUCCCAUUCAGCGAUUGAUAUGUCAUGUCCUGAGUUUGUGUGUCAGACAGAUAACAAAGUUAAAAUAGCUCAGAGCUGCAUGUCUUAUGCUGAAGCCGGUAAAAGACAUAGCUUUAAGUUCAACAAUUCCGGAAUUACCAAAACCCUCAUAUUCUUCUGCAGCGAAGUCUGCAUCUCGUAAUAAUUCUACUAAUCCCUCAUAUAAAAGACAGUAUUCUUAAAACCUUGCUCUCCUCCUAAACCUCGAAAUGGUUAUGAUUGUGUUGCUCAUUAUAACAUAUUAAUAGACUAGAUCCAUAGCCUAAAAAUGGCAGUGCUUUGGUUGGCAAAAAUAAAGAGGAAGAAAAAAUUUGAUCUCUUACAAAUGAUAUGAACAUUAUUAACUACUUUAAUAAACUCAAACUUACUGAAACCGUCCCACAUUGCCUCUAUUAAAGAAAAAGUAAAACCAAUUAAUGUUAUGUGAUAUUUCUAUAGUUUCUGUUUAUCUUGCUCGUUACACUUUUAUUAUUCUCAAUAGCGUUAAUAAUUUACUCUCUUCACUGAGUCGUCCAUUCCUUCUAUUAGGUAUCUUUAACUCUCAUCACCAAAUGUUUGGUUGUGAUACUACCGACUCCAAUGGUGUAUGUUUAGUUGAAAUAUUAGAUUUACAUAAUUUGUGUUUACUUAAUUCUGGCUCACCAACCAGACAUACAAAGCCCAAUGAAAAGCUUAGCGCAGUUGAAUUAUCAAUUUGAACUCCAGAUCUAGCUUCAUCUCAUUCUUGGUACACUUCAUCAUCUACUUUUGGCAGUGAUCAUUUCCCGAUUAUCACAUCCUCUAACGCUCUCCUUAUCAAAAACGACAACCUCGUGUGAAACAUAAUGAUAACAUAACAUUAAAUAAUGCUGAUUGGCUUCAUUUAAAAUCUGUAUCAAAUCUAAAAUAAAAGAUUUGCUCAAAUUAAUUAGUGGUAGUGAGACCAAUUCUUCUAGAGCUUUGGCUACAUGUUUAAAAGAAUCUGUCGAUCAGAUUUUUUCUAUCAAACAAAAUCCAUCUAAUAAGAUUCCUUCUCCAUCAUGGUGGGAUAGAGAAUGUAUGGUUGCUGUAAAUAGAAGAAAGGAAGAUGAGAGAGUCUAUGCAGAGGACAGGCGGAGGAGGAGAGACAGGCGUCAAUGCGUCGGGUUGUCUCUCUCCCUAAAAUAUGGCGAGGGGGCCGAUGGCUGGCCAUGCAUCAUACUCGUGAACGGGUGCUACUUGUGGUUACUGAUCGUACUUGAAUUCGU